AUUGAACGCUGGCGGCAGGCCUAACACAUGCCAGUCGAGCGGAUGAAGGGAGCUGGCUCCUGGAUUCAGCGGCGGACGGGUGUGUAAUGCCUAGGAAUCUGCCUGGGAGGGGGGGAUAACGUCCGGAAACGGGCGCUAAUACCGCAUACGUCGUGAGUGAGAGAGUGGGGGAUCUUCGGACCUCACGCUCUCACAUGAUCCUAGGUCGGAUUAGCUAGUUGGUGGGGUAAAGGCCUACCAAGGCGACGAUCCGUAACUGGUCUGAGAGGAUGAUCAGCCACACUGGAACUGAGACACGGUCCAGACUCCUACGGGAGGCAGCAGUGGGGAAUAUUGGACAAUGGGCGAAAGCCUGAUCCAGCCAUGCCGCGUGUGUGAAGAAGGUCUUCGGAUUGUAAAGCACUUUUAGUUGGGAGGAAGGGCAGUAAGUUAAUACCUUGCUGUUUUGACGGUACCAACAGAAUAAGCACCGGCUAACUUCGUG
RNAcentral lists this ribosomal RNA (484 nucleotides) under uncultured bacterium. RNAcentral describes it as "partial 16S ribosomal RNA". It matches the Rfam family "Bacterial small subunit ribosomal RNA", at positions 30 to 507 of the family's 1533-position model. The record is from RNAcentral.